UACGGAGGGUGCAAGCGUUAUCCGGAUUCACUGGGUUUAAAGGGUGCGUAGGUGGGCAGGUAAGUCAGUGGUGAAAUCUCCGGGCUUAACCCGGAAACUGCCAUUGAUACUAUCUGUCUUGAAUACCGUGGAGGUGAGCGGAAUAUGUCAUGUAGCGGUGAAAUGCUUAGAUAUGACAUAGAACACCAAUUGCGAAGGCAGCUCACUACACGAAUAUUGACACUGAGGCACGGAAGCGUGGGGAUCAAACAGG
RNAcentral lists this ribosomal RNA (253 nucleotides) under uncultured bacterium. RNAcentral's name for it is "partial 16S ribosomal RNA". It matches the Rfam family "Bacterial small subunit ribosomal RNA", at positions 524 to 776 of the family's 1533-position model. The record is from RNAcentral.